RNAcentral lists this ribosomal RNA (465 nucleotides) under uncultured bacterium. RNAcentral describes it as "partial 16S ribosomal RNA". It matches the Rfam family "Bacterial small subunit ribosomal RNA", at positions 338 to 795 of the family's 1533-position model. The record is from RNAcentral.
CCUACGGGAGGCUGCAGUAGGGAAUCUUCCACAAUGGACGAAAGCCUGAUGGAGCAACGCCGCGUGAGUGAAGAAGGGUUUCGGCUCGUAAAGCCCUGUUGGUAGUGAAGAAAGAUAGAGGUAGUAACUGGCCUUUAUUUGACGGUAAUUACUUAGAAAGUCACGGUUAACUACGUGCCAGCAGCCGCGGUAAUACGUAGGUGGCAAGCGUUGUCCGGAUUUAUUGGGCGUAAAGCGAGUGCAGGCGGCUCAAUAAGUCUGAUGUGAAAUCCUUCGGCUCAACCGGAGAAUUGCAUCAGAAACUGUUGGGCUUGAGUGCAGAAGAGGAGAGUGGAACUCCAUGUGUAGCGGUGGAAUGCGUAGAUAUAUGGAAGAACACCAGUGGCGAAGGCGGCUCUCUGGUCUGCAACUGACGCUGAGGCUCGAAAGCGUGGGUAGCGAACAGGAUUAGAUACCCCGGUAGUC